AAGUCGUAACAAGGUCUCCGUAGGUGAACCUGCGGAGGGAUCAUUACACAAAUAUGAAGGCGGGCUGGAACCUCUCGGGGUUACAGCCUUGCUGAAUUAUUCACCCUUGUCUUUUGCGUACUUCUUGUUUCCUUGGUCGGUUCGCCCACCACUAGGACAAACAUAAACCUUUUGUAAUUGCAAUCAGCGUCAGUAACAAAUUAAUAAUUACAACUUUCAACAACGGAUCUCUUGGUUCUG
RNAcentral lists this unclassified non-coding RNA (240 nucleotides) under Alternaria sp. RNAcentral describes it as "partial internal transcribed spacer region". The stretch from base 1 to 46 matches the Rfam family "Eukaryotic small subunit ribosomal RNA", at positions 1786 to 1831 of the family's 1831-position model. Lineage: Eukaryota; Fungi; Ascomycota; Dothideomycetes; Pleosporales; Pleosporaceae. The record is from RNAcentral.